Molecule: transfer RNA, 72 nt
Filed under: Ictidomys tridecemlineatus (thirteen-lined ground squirrel)
Lineage: Eukaryota; Metazoa; Chordata; Mammalia; Rodentia; Sciuridae
Description: Spermophilus tridecemlineatus (thirteen-lined ground squirrel) tRNA
Rfam family: tRNA
About the family: Transfer RNA (tRNA) molecules are approximately 80 nucleotides in length. Their secondary structure includes four short double-helical elements and three loops (D, anti-codon, and T loops). Further hydrogen bonds mediate the characteristic L-shaped molecular structure. tRNAs have two regions of fundamental functional importance: the anti-codon, which is responsible for specific mRNA codon recognition, and the 3' end, to which the tRNAs corresponding amino acid is attached (by aminoacyl-tRNA synthetases). tRNAs cope with the degeneracy of the genetic code in two manners: having more than one tRNA (with a specific anti-codon) for a particular amino acid; and 'wobble' base-pairing, i.e. permitting non-standard base-pairing at the 3rd anti-codon position.
Source: Rfam by way of RNAcentral
UGGGUUGUGGCUUAGCGGUAGAGCAUUUGCCUAACAAGUAUAAGGCACUGAGUUUGAUCUUCAGCACCACAU